Molecule: long non-coding RNA, 241 nt
Organism: Scleropages formosus (Asian bonytongue)
Lineage: Eukaryota; Metazoa; Chordata; Actinopteri; Osteoglossiformes; Osteoglossidae
Exons: 3
Source: RefSeq, a predicted model, not a curated record
CCACAUCUGCCCACUUGGUGGUCCCACGCACGAAAGAUGGAUGUACGAAUAUCCGUUCACAUUGGUGGAAGUAACGUGAGGCACAGUGAGGAACAAGGCAAUGCAGUGUUUUCAUACAGCUUUCAAAGAACAAACUGCUCACAACAAGAAGAGAGUGCUAACGCAGAAGACAGCAACUGCGAGACUGGAUCCACAAAUUCAUACAACCGAGAGAUGCUGUUAGAACUUGAUCCGUCUCGCC